CCUACGGGUGGCAGCAGUGGGGAAUAUUGGACAAUGGGCGAAAGCCUGAUCCAGCCAUGCCGCGUGUGUGAAGAAGGCCUUCGGGUUGUAAAGCACUUUCAGUGGGGAAGAAAGCCUUGGGGCUAAUACCCUCGAGGAAGGACAUCACCCACAGAAGAAGCACCGGCUAACUCCGUGCCAGCAGCCGCGGUAAUACGGAGGGUGCGAGCGUUAAUCGGAAUUACUGGGCGUAAAGCGCGCGUAGGCGGUCUGAUAAGCCGGUUGGGAAAGCCCCGGGCGCAACCUGGGAACGGCAUCCGGAACUGUCAGGCUAGAGUGCAGGAGAGGAAGGUAGAAUUCCCGGUGUAGCGGUGAAAUGCGUAGAGAUCGGGAGGAAUACCAGUGGCGAAGGCGGCCUUCUGGACUGACACUGACGCUGAGGUGCGAAAGCGUGGGUAGCAAACAGGAUUAGAUACCCGGGUAGUC
Molecule: ribosomal RNA, 465 nt
Filed under: Vreelandella stevensii
Lineage: Bacteria; Pseudomonadati; Pseudomonadota; Gammaproteobacteria; Oceanospirillales; Halomonadaceae
Description: partial 16S ribosomal RNA
Rfam family: Bacterial small subunit ribosomal RNA
Source: RNAcentral